Molecule: long non-coding RNA, 1200 nt
Filed under: Canis lupus familiaris (dog)
Lineage: Eukaryota; Metazoa; Chordata; Mammalia; Carnivora; Canidae
Description: lncRNA (ENSCAFG00040023407.1)
Source: RNAcentral
AUGCCCUGCGACGCGUCUGCCCAGCCGGAGGGCCCAGUGCGGGCCGGGGUGCUGGCUGGGGGGGCGGGCGCCUCCGGGACAGCCUCGGGUGCCCUCCUCCGUUCCUGCCCCUGCAGGGGGGUGAGGUCUCUGGAAGCUUCCUUGCAACCUCAGCAUUUCAGGAUUUGGCCCAGCCGUUUAGUAUUAUAUUUAAUUGUCAUCAUUAUUAGUAAUUCAGAGCCGGCACAUCUCACGUUGACAAGACACACGGUCACUCAGGAUCAGCGUGGUCUCCCAAAGACCCUGUGGGUGAGCUUCCGGGCUCAAGACGGCAGGUGGAGGGAGCCCCGCGGGGAAGGGACACGAAAGGGGGUCACUUCCAGGGGAGGCAGGUGGCUUGGCUGGGGCGCAGUUCCCCUCUCCCAGCCAAGGAGUGCCCCCCGGCCCAGGUCCCCGCACGUUUCCGGGGCAGCUCCAACCCCUGAGAAGCCCCCGGGCACAUGCCACAGGCGCCCCGACGGUGCUGUCUGCGUGCCGGGCUCCCCGGACGGCUGCAGGGAGCGUCUCGUCCUGAAGGCCAGGGGGGCCGAGUCUGCCCCUGAACUCCCAUGGGAGACAGAGAAUGCCAGGGAAUGUUCUGCCAAAAACCUUCUUUUGAGGGGACUAAUGUUUCCCCAUGAGCCCUCGACGUGCUGGGGACGUGCCCUGCCGGGGUCUGCGGGAAGCCGAGCCCUCUGCAGGAAGGGACGGUGCAGGUGCGCGGGGCCGAGGGAAGGAUGGGCCCGACGUGCGUGGGGGGGGCCCAAUGGCCUAAAGGCCCGUCCCCAAGGCGCCGCGCAGCCUGCAGCUGCGGCCGAGGACGUGCCGCUCACCGCGCACAGAUGCCAGAGGCCGAACGAGCAAGCUGCCCGUUUGCAGCCCAGGCGAGACAGGAAAAGCCAGGGGCGGACCUUCUGCCGCCGGAGGACCGAGGCCAGCGACUGGGGAGGGCAGGAAGCCGCGCCCGACGACGUGCCCAGUCUUACCAGCGGGCGGCUUCGGGGCAAGGGUCCUGGGAGCUCCCCCGAGCCCCACUUGUCCAGGGGAGGAGCCACCCCUGCCGCCAGCAUGGAGCCUCCACUCCCGGAGGUGGGGGAGACCUCCCCUCCCAGCACAGUGGCGGGCGGGGCCCCCACACCUCCCACAGCCCAGCGGUGGGUCUCGGGAGGCAAAGGAGCAUGA